UGACUAUUGCGCGCUUUAUGAACAUCAUUUCUCCUACUAUGAGCAGCAUUUCUCGAAUAAUUAUUUCUACGUUGGAAAUCAUUUCUAGGUGCUCUAAAGGGUUCAAAAUUCCUUAUAGUAUUUGGCCUAUAAUAUGCAUCAUUUCUAGGGUAGUUAUUUCUAGGUGGUAAGUCAUUGCUAGGUCUUCUAAAAUGUUCAACAUUU
Molecule: long non-coding RNA, 204 nt
Filed under: Nicotiana benthamiana
Lineage: Eukaryota; Viridiplantae; Streptophyta; Magnoliopsida; Solanales; Solanaceae
Description: long non-coding RNA (NBEN_LNC015585)
Source: RNAcentral